RNAcentral lists this ribosomal RNA (250 nucleotides) under uncultured bacterium. RNAcentral describes it as "partial 16S ribosomal RNA". It matches the Rfam family "Bacterial small subunit ribosomal RNA", at positions 524 to 776 of the family's 1533-position model. The record is from RNAcentral.
UACGAAGGGUGCAAACGUUGCUCGGAAUUAUUGGGCGUAAGCGCACGUAGGCGGCUUAGCAAGUCGGAUGUGAAAUCCCUCGGCUCAACCAAGGAAGUGCAUCCGAAACUGCUGAGCUUGAGUACGAAAGAGGAUCGCGGAAUUCCCGGUGUAGAGGUGAAUUCGUAGAUAUCGGGAGGAACACCAGUGGCGAAGGCGGCGAUCUGGGUCGAUACUGACGCUGAGGUGCGAAAGCGUGGGAGCAAACAGG